GAAACUUGCCCCGAGAUGAGUUCUCCCUGAGACUUUAGGUCUCCUGAAGGAACGUUGAAGACGACGACGUUGAUAGGCCGGGUGUGUAAGCGCAGCGAUGCGUUGAGCUAACCGGUACUAAUGAACCGUGAGGCUUAACCUUACAACGCCGAAG
RNAcentral lists this ribosomal RNA (154 nucleotides) under Salmonella enterica. RNAcentral describes it as "partial 23S ribosomal RNA". It matches the Rfam family "Bacterial large subunit ribosomal RNA", at positions 2789 to 2925 of the family's 2925-position model. RNAcentral also lists the same sequence under 2 other names. Lineage: Bacteria; Pseudomonadati; Pseudomonadota; Gammaproteobacteria; Enterobacterales; Enterobacteriaceae. The record is from RNAcentral.